This 66-nucleotide ribosomal RNA is filed under the name Heterosigma akashiwo. RNAcentral's name for it is "partial Eukaryotic large subunit ribosomal RNA". The record is from RNAcentral. Lineage: Eukaryota; Raphidophyceae; Chattonellales; Chattonellaceae.
GAGAACUGAAGAAUAACAACAUCAUAAUCAUGGCUACUAUACUAUUCCUCUUUGUGACAUGUUAUU